This 72-nucleotide transfer RNA is filed under the name Heterocephalus glaber (naked mole-rat). It matches the Rfam family "tRNA". From Rfam's summary of the family: Transfer RNA (tRNA) molecules are approximately 80 nucleotides in length. Their secondary structure includes four short double-helical elements and three loops (D, anti-codon, and T loops). Lineage: Eukaryota; Metazoa; Chordata; Mammalia; Rodentia; Bathyergidae. The record is from Rfam by way of RNAcentral.
GAGGGUGUAGCUCAGUAAUAGAGCUCUUGCCUUGCAUGCAAAAGGCCCUGGGUUCAGUGCUCAGCACUGCCU